Molecule: ribosomal RNA, 253 nt
Filed under: uncultured bacterium
Lineage: Bacteria
Description: partial 16S ribosomal RNA
Rfam family: Bacterial small subunit ribosomal RNA
Source: RNAcentral
UACGUAGGUGACUAGCGUUGUCCGGAUUUAUUGGGUUUAAAGGGUGCGUAGGCGGCUUUGUAAGUCAGUGGUGAAAUAUGGCAGCUCAACUGUCAGGGUGCCAUUGAUACUGCGGAGCUUGAGUACAGAUGAGGUAGGCGGAAUUGACGGUGUAGCGGUGAAAUGCUUAGAUAUCGUCAAGAACACCGAUAGCGAAGGCAGCUUACUAGGCUGUAACUGACGCUGAGGCACGAAAGUGUGGGGAUCAAACAGG